This 260-nucleotide long non-coding RNA is filed under the name Lathyrus oleraceus (garden pea). Its description in RNAcentral is "Pisum sativum (pea) long non-coding RNA (PSAT_LNC015671)". Lineage: Eukaryota; Viridiplantae; Streptophyta; Magnoliopsida; Fabales; Fabaceae. The record is from RNAcentral.
AAAGAAAGACACGUGUCCUUGCUUGUGUGGGUAACAUUGAGAUAUUUUUUCUUAGCUUAAAAAAUACUAAAAAUUAAGUGUUAAUAAUUUAAAAUAAAAUAAAAAGUACAAAAAUAAAACCGAAAUAAAAACGUAGAAAAUUCUAUUUAAUUCCAACAAUUAUUUUGGUUAAAAAAUAAAAAUAAAAAUAAUCGAAUAAAAAAUGAAUAAAAAUCGGGCGAAAAAAAUAAUUUCCCGAAAAAAACUGAACGUGCAAAAAU